This 194-nucleotide unclassified non-coding RNA is filed under the name uncultured fungus. RNAcentral describes it as "sequence contains ITS1". Lineage: Eukaryota; Fungi. The record is from RNAcentral.
UUAACUUAUUAAGAUUUACUCGGACAACAUAAAACAAAGAGUUUGGGUCCUCUGGCAGGCGCGGACCAGCUGAAGCCGGUGGUCACAAAGACGGGCCUGCCAAAGCAAUAUAGGUAAAUUAAACAUAGGGUGGGAGAUCUACCCCAAAGGGCAACGUCUCUGUAAUGAUCCUUCCGCAGGUUCACCUACGGAGA